This 2234-nucleotide long non-coding RNA is filed under the name Lepidothrix coronata (blue-crowned manakin). RNAcentral's name for it is "lncRNA (ENSLCOG00000009974.1)". Lineage: Eukaryota; Metazoa; Chordata; Aves; Passeriformes; Pipridae. The record is from RNAcentral.
GCCUACUAUGACGUAACCUUGAAGCCACUGGAUGAGGUCUGGAAAGAGAAGACAGAAGAGUACAUGAAGAAAAUCCAGGCUUUUUUACCCAAUAUUGUAAAGGAUGCAUGGCUCAUGGAACCAAUCCAGCUGGCAUUAAAGGUUGUGAAAGCAGCCUUGGAUACGACCACACAGCAGAUGUUCAGGUGGGCAGAGGCCACGUUUUCCAGAGCUGUGAGGAAGAUCCGGAAGCCCUUGCUCAACCUGUACAGUUUUUCAGCCAGGAACUGUUCCGUGGCAGUAAAACUGCCAGUACUGCCCAAAGGAGACCACUCCCUACAGCUGGCAAAUGUUCCUACUUAUCUCGUUGGAGAGAAAAUAAUGAGGCCUCUGCAAGACCUCUACAAAAUCAACAUCCUUGCGGAGUAUUAUAGAUUCAAACGGAGGAUGGUGGAGAGUCCCUUUGAAUAUCAUGCUCUGUUAGUGGGAACCAAACAUCUUGUGACUUUUGAUGGAAAAAUUUAUGAUUUGGCAUCAAAGUGCAGUGUACUUCUUGCCAAGGAUUUUGUCCACAAUGCUUUCACUGUAAUACUAAGUGAGGAAACCAGUAACUCAAGAUCACUGUAUGUGGAGAUGAACCAGACUGUGAUCAGUAUCCACCCAAGACUGAAGAUCUCCAAGAUGUUCUCCUUUACGGAAGAGAGCUGCCAAGUACUGGAUAAAUCACUUGAAAAGAAUACCACUAAUUCAAGGAGAGAAACCAACAAAAUAGAAAUAUCUAAUCAGAAAGGAGUUUCUCUAUCCUGUGACUUUCAGUAUGAUCUCUGUACUGUCACUCUGGCUGGGUGGCACCACGGUAUCUCAGCUGGGCUUUUUGGUACCAAUGAUAAUGAAGCUGGAAAUGAAUGGAUGCUUCCUAAUGGUUCCUUCACUGACAACGUGCAAGAGUUCACACAGAGCUGGCAGGUGAACAAGUGCAGUCUUGUACCGAAGAAAGAGAAGUCAUGUCCAAUUACAGGCAAUCAAAACAUCUGCAAAGUGUUUUUUGAAGAACCACAUUCACUUCUUAGGAACUGCUUCAAAAUUGUGGACCCCGAGCCCUUCUACACCAUGUGUACACAGGACACCUGCGAGUCCCCGGCCCCGGGGGCUGCCUGCAGCUCAGCAGCAGCUUUUGUUCAUCUGUGCAACCGGAAUUUUGUCCCUGUGGAAAUCCCUCCACAGUGCUUGAGCCUGUUCUGAAUGGCACAUACCAGCCCUGGAGAUGGAAGAACCCUUUCAGCACCCAAAAAUAGAAGUUAUUUUAGGUAGACAAGCUAGAGGCAGGAGCAGGAGAACAGUAGCAGUGCAAAUGCAUUAGUGUUAGACAAUGAAUAUAAUGAAGCACAUAUAGUAUAAAAGGAAAGCUUUCCACCAGAACCCCUGAGGGCAAGAGGAAUUAUUUCAGUAUACUGACAAGAAACUAUAAUCAACCAAAGGAAAUUGAAAGUAAUAGUAUCAAUUACUUUAAAAGAAUUCUCCCAUUCAGUGGCAAAAUUGUGUCUCCACAAGCCUUGAACCAUAGCAUAAAUACAUUUAAAUGCUGACAAAAGGUCUCUUCCAGCUCAGAUUAGUACAAGUGGAAUACUUUGUGAAAGCAGCAUUAUCAGCUUUGAGUCAGCAGAGAUGCUGACUUCUUUUUUCUCCAGAAAUGAAACUCUGCUGUUCAGCAGUUCUGGACAAAGUUAUCUUUUUUUUUUUUUUUCAAGGGAAGUGCUCCAACACAUGAGAGCUACAGUAGAAAUAAGAUGGUUAAAUAAUUGAAAGCACUUGAUAAUUUUCUCAUUUUUAUGCUGGCUGAUUUUUCCCUUACUAACGUGUACACUGUUAAAUGAGAAACACCCUUCUUGGUAUCUGUGUACCAGUUUCACGUUCUCCCUUUGUGCCUUUAGAAGCCCUUUCUCAGAAAUCAGCUGAUGUGUUUGGAAAGGGUGAUUGAUAUCUAUCCAACCCAUAAAGUAGCCUUAAGGUGCUAUAGCUGUUGUUGUGUGAAAACGUCUUAUCUGUUAAAUCCUUUUAUAUUUUAAGUCUAUUGAUUAAAGAAAUGCAUUACCUUUCUCCACCCAUACCUGGAAGGCAGCUAUUCCUCAGCAAAAGGUUAACACUGCAAAAUCCUUCCCAUGUCUUUACAUAACAUGCAAACGUUGAAAUAAUGGUGUUCUGAACUAGGAGAUAAUGCUAAUAAACAUUUGACUUCCUUAUUAUUAUGCUGGAGU